RNAcentral lists this ribosomal RNA (474 nucleotides) under uncultured organism. RNAcentral's name for it is "partial 16S ribosomal RNA". It matches the Rfam family "Bacterial small subunit ribosomal RNA", at positions 331 to 797 of the family's 1533-position model. The record is from RNAcentral.
GUACACUCCUGCGGGAGGCAGCAGUGGGGAAUAUUGCACAAUGGGCGCAAGCCUGAUGCAGCCAUGCCGCGUGUAUGAAGAAGGCCUUCGGGUUGUAAAGUACUUUCAGCGGGGAGGAAGGCAAUACGGUUAAUAACCGUGUUGAUUGACGUUACCCGCAGAAGAAGCACCGGCUAACUCCGUGCCAGCAGCCGCGGUAAUACGGAGGGUGCAAGCGUUAAUCGGAAUUACUGGGCGUAAAGCGCACGCAGGCGGUCUGUCAAGUCGGAUGCGAAAUCCCCGGGCUCAACCUGGGAACUGCAUUCGAAACUGGCAGGCUUGAGUCUUGUAGAGGGGGGUAGAAUUCCAGGUGUAGCGGUGAAAUGCGUAGAGAUCUGGAGGAAUACCGGUGGCGAAGGCGGCCCCCUGGACAAAGACUGACGCUCAGGUGCGAAAGCGUGGGGAGCAAACAGGAUUAGAUACCCUUGUAGUCCC